UGGGGAAUAUUGCACAAUGGGCGCAAGCCUGAUGCAGCCAUGCCGCGUGUGUGAAGAAGGCCUUCGGGUUGUAAAGCACUUUCAGCGAGGAGGAAGGUGGUGAGCUUAAUACGCUCAUCAAUUGACGUUACUCGCAGAAGAAGCACCGGCUAACUCCGUGCCAGCAGCCGCGGUAAUACGGAGGGUGCAAGCGUUAAUCGGAAUUACUGGGCGUAAAGCGCACGCAGGCGGUUUGUUAAGUCAGAUGUGAAAUCCCCGGGCUCAACCUGGGAACUGCAUUUGAAACUGGCAAGCUAGAGUCUCGUAGAGGGGGGUAGAAUUCCAGGUGUAGCGGUGAAAUGCGUAGAGAUCUGGAGGAAUACCGGUGGCGAAGGCGGCCCCCUGGACGAAGACUGACGCUCAGGUGCGAAAGCGUGGGGCAGCAAACAGGAUUAGAUACCCUGGUAGUCCACGCUGUAAACGAUGUCGAUUUUGGAGGUUGUGCCCCUUGAGGCGUGGCUUCCGGAGCUAACGC
RNAcentral lists this ribosomal RNA (514 nucleotides) under uncultured bacterium. Its description in RNAcentral is "partial 16S ribosomal RNA". It matches the Rfam family "Bacterial small subunit ribosomal RNA", at positions 355 to 858 of the family's 1533-position model. The record is from RNAcentral.